RNAcentral lists this ribosomal RNA (381 nucleotides) under Bryobacteraceae bacterium. RNAcentral describes it as "bacterial SSU rRNA". It matches the Rfam family "Bacterial small subunit ribosomal RNA", at positions 1 to 399 of the family's 1533-position model. Lineage: Bacteria; Pseudomonadati; Acidobacteriota; Terriglobia; Bryobacterales; Bryobacteraceae. The record is from RNAcentral.
UGAGAGUUUGAUCCCGGCUCAGAAUCAACGUUGGCGGCGCGCUUAACACAUGCAAGUCGAACGAGAAAGCCGGAGAAAUCUGGUGAGUAAAGUGGCGUACGGGUGAGUAACACGUGGAUCAUCUACCCUCUGGUGGGGAAUAACCCCGGGAAACUGGGGCUAAUACCGCAUAAGUCCGAGAGGAGAAAGGCGAAAGUCGCCGGAGGAAGAGUCCGCGGCCGAUUAGCUAGUUGGCAGGGUAAAGGCCUACCAAGGCGAAGAUCGGUAGCCGGCCUGAGAGGGCACACGGCCACACUGGCACUGAGACACGGGCCAGACUCCUACGGGAGGCAGCAGUGGGGAAUCUUGCACAAUGGGGGAAACCCUGAUGCAGCGACGCCG